UUGACAUUAAUAGUUGCGACUAAUAAUAAUAAUAAUUUGACAUAAUAGCGAUAUAUGGUAAUCUUUCGCUACAAGAAAUUUGUUGUUUAACGUCUCAAAUUAAGCAUUAGGUUUUCGUUUUCGGCUUCUCUAAUUGUUUUGAGAAUCGUUAAUCUCUUGUUUUGAUUUCAGUUUUUCUUCUCCAUCUAUGGAGGAAUCGGAGGUUCUCUUCUGCAAUAGCUUAUCAAAGAUUAUACAGCAUAAAUUUCUUUGAAUUUGUUGUGUGUUAUGACAAACCAAUUCGAUUCUAACAAUGAUUUACAAAUUUUGUUGAAGGAUAUGUUCGUCGCAAGAGAAAUCUUCUUCUUCUCCUCACUGGCAAAUUUUCACCGUCUCGCAGGUGAAUUGGUAACAAGAGAAUUCAUAGGACUAUGAGGCUAGAUUUGUCCUAUUACCAGCUGCACUUGGAGAACUCAAGAAUCUUCUUUGUUUGGUACAUUCUCAGUGUUUUACUUUUCUCAUUUGAGUUUUCAUGUAGUUAAACAUUAACAGUCUUUUAGGAAUUUGUCCUGAGUUUCUAUCCAAUAUCGGGGGACUCACUCUUGUGUAUGUCUCUAAGUUCUGCUUUCUAUUGUUCCGAAGUUGAACAAGAUACAUUUGGAGAGUAUUUACCAACUUAUUUGUGAAACAUUCUUAAUGUGUAAUGACAUUUUCGUAUAAAACUCUUACCAGUUUGAUGCCAAAACUGCCAGCCAGAACUUUCAAGCUCAAAUAAAGACAGUUUGCAAGAACAUCAUCAAGCAUAGUCAUAAGUCAUCACCUCCACUUACUACUUAAUCUCUUAAGUCCAAGCUUGGUGAAGAUAAAUCAAAAGCACAAGCACUCUGGCAAACAUGAGUCUCCUAUGGGAUCAAAAGCAUUUACAAGCACUCUGGCAAACAUGAUUUUAGUAAAUGUAAAAAGUACUUUAGUAUAUAAAUAGGAAGCAUUGUGAUUUGUGGAUGCUCUGUUUUUAUUUUUUGUUCCUAUUUUAAGAUUGUUCUGUACGUGUAAAACCAUAUAAUAUUUGAUUAAUGAAAAUUCAAUUGGAUCAA
This is a long non-coding RNA of Arabidopsis lyrata subsp. lyrata, 1073 nucleotides long. RefSeq lists it as uncharacterized. The record is from RefSeq and is a predicted model, not a curated record. The transcript is spliced from 4 exons. NCBI's taxonomy places the organism in Eukaryota, Viridiplantae, Streptophyta, Magnoliopsida, Brassicales, Brassicaceae.